Oncorhynchus tshawytscha (Chinook salmon) is the source of this 1708-nucleotide long non-coding RNA. Lineage: Eukaryota; Metazoa; Chordata; Actinopteri; Salmoniformes; Salmonidae. The record is from Ensembl.
CAGAGAGCAAAAGAUGUGGGAAAAAACACGCUUUAAUGUCCCGGAAACAUAACAUGAACCAAAAGAAGAAAAACAAAUGAUCAGAAAUAUAAACGGACAGCGUGAAACCCAAAUACAAACAAAAUACACUCAAACAACAAAACAGACUAACAAGCACGCACGAAACAGAAGCGGGCUGAACAAACUAUAUAUAACCCUACCCUAACAACCAAACAAGAAACAGGUGAUACCAAUCAGACAAAACCAAAGGAACACAGAACAACGGAUCGGCGAUAGCUAGUAGACCGGUGACGACGACCGCCGAGCGCCACCCGAACAAGAAGGGGAGUCACCUUCGGUAGGAACUGGUUCCUCCAGUCUGACCGCAGCUGCUGUCUCUGACUCCACACCCACCCCCGCCCAGCCAUCGAGGUGUGAAGAGGCCAGCCCAGAAGUGGAGGAGGGCCAGUGCACCAGCGACAUCUACCACUGAGGGAGAGGACCGUUGGCACACUGUGCUUGAGGAUGUGGAGCCACUUCCACCAACAUUUAGACCUAAAAGGCAGUCAGGACCUCAGCUGGACAUGACUUGAAAUUAAAGCCCCCUUCAUCUUUGUGUGUAAACUUAAAUUGUUUAUUACCAUAGCAUGUUUGUAUGUUCUCUCUAGCUAUGUACUUGAAAAUGUUGCAAUUGACCAAUUCGGCCACUUGAAGGCCACUUGGGUACAUUUGGGCAAACUCGUGAGGGACACCUGGUAGACUUCAUACCAAAUAUUAUGUAGCUCUCUCAUUCUUAAAUGUAUCCGUCUGAAACUAUGCACACACACAAUUGCCCUGUUGUGGACAACAUCUAAAUUAUCUGCACCUUCCUGUUUCAAUGUAUGGUUUUUCUGUUGCAUUUCAAAGAUGAUGCAACAAAAAUACAAAUAGAAAACGCAUGUUUUUCCUGUUGGUUUUAUCUUUUACCAGAUCUGAUGUGUUAUAUUCUCCUACAUUCAUUUCACAUCUUCACAAACAUCAAAGUGUUUCCUUUCAAAUAGUAUCAGGAAAAUGCAUAUCCUUGCUUCAGGUCCUGAGCUACAGGCAGUUAGAUUUAGGUAUGACAUUUUAGGCAGAAAUUGAGAUGAAGGAUCCUAUCCAGAAGUUUCUUCAGUCUUUCAGGAGCUCAUCCAUUGUUGGUUUCCUGGUCUUAAGAGGUGGCUCUUUAUCUGAACUGUCAUCAGCGAUUCCAUCAUCAACUCCGGAUCUGUAAACAUUAAAACCAAUAGACAACGAAAGUACUAUAGGCCUAUACGAAUUCCAUCAUUGCUAUGAAACAAAUAUACUCCAAGAGAUAUGUAAUCUGGUGUCAUUAUCUUCAUCAUAAUAAUCCUGCAUCAUACCACCCUACCUUCCUCUUCUUCUUCUAUGGCAUAUUGACUUGAUUCGAACUCAGCAUCCACUUCCGCCAUCUUUUUCCUCUUGGGUGUCUAUUUUGUCAGGAGGCUGCCAUUUUCUCUCCUCAUUGUUUCAAGAUUAAACAUUUCGGGACCGUUUCUAUCCUCUCCAGCAAAUAAUACAACACUGACACCUACUGGUGAAAUGACUAAACAAACACAUCCAUACACUGCUAUAUCAAGAUGUAAAAAAAAAAAAAAACGGAACCUUUAUUUAACUAGGCAAGUCAGUUAAGAACAAAUUACUAUUUACAAUGACGGCCUACUAUUCCCUCUACUAGAAUGCAGCCCUA